UGGGGAAUAUUGGGCAAUGGGCGAAAGCCUGACCCAGCAACGCCGCGUGAAGGAAGAAGGUCUUCGGAUUGUAAACUUCUUUUAUGAGGGACGAAGGACGUGACGGUACCUCAUGAAUAAGCCACGGCUAACUACGUGCCAGCAGCCGCGGUAAUACGUAGGUGGCAAGCGUUAUCCGGAUUUACUGGGUGUAAAGGGCGCGUAGGCGGGGAUGCAAGUCAGAUGUGAAAUCUAUGGGCUUAACUCAUAAACUGCAUUUGAAACUGUAUCUCUUGAGUGCUGGAGGGGUAGACGGAAUUCCUUGUGUAGCGGUGAAAUGCGUAGAUAUAAGGAAGAACACCAGUGGCGAAGGCGGUCUACUGGACAGUAACUGACGCUGAGGCGCGAAAGCGUGGGGAGCAAACAGGAUUAGAUACC
RNAcentral lists this ribosomal RNA (417 nucleotides) under uncultured bacterium. RNAcentral describes it as "bacterial SSU rRNA". It matches the Rfam family "Bacterial small subunit ribosomal RNA", at positions 355 to 786 of the family's 1533-position model. The record is from RNAcentral.